RNAcentral lists this long non-coding RNA (256 nucleotides) under Phoenix dactylifera (date palm). RNAcentral describes it as "long non-coding RNA (PDAC_LNC021294)". Lineage: Eukaryota; Viridiplantae; Streptophyta; Magnoliopsida; Arecales; Arecaceae. The record is from RNAcentral.
AGAAGUAGUUGGAUGCAGUUAAUGCCGCUCUUCCCUCUUUUUCGUUGAAGAACAGGUUGCAGAGAUUGAAAGCUUGAUUUCUUUGAGUGGGAUAGUUGUUCUCUACUUUGCUACAGUCCUCUGUGGCUAUUUAAACCAACCCCCACGGAAACUAGCCGUUAGAGACCUUUUUCUGCCCGUUCUGCACACUCUGCACAGCCUGACAAUAUGUCCGUUGGUGGGUUGGAGUCGACUCGCGCGAUCAGGAGUCGACUCG